Molecule: long non-coding RNA, 1679 nt
Filed under: Homo sapiens (human)
Lineage: Eukaryota; Metazoa; Chordata; Mammalia; Primates; Hominidae
Description: HSALNT0294493
Source: RNAcentral
GAGACGCCAGAUGUGAGUUGAGGUGCCAGACGUGAGUUGAGGUGCCAGACGUGGCGGCGUUGGGUACCCAGGACCCUCGGACGGGUCUGCUGCGGCUUGCUGGGGGUCCACUCCAGACCCUGUUCGCCUGGGUAUCACCAGUGGAGUUUGCAGAACAGCAAAGAUUGCUGCUUGCUCCUUCCUCCAGAAGCUUCUUCCCACAGUGGCAUCAACCUGAUUGAUGUCAGCCGGAACUCUCCUGCAUGAGGUGUCUGGCGACCCCUGAUGGGAAGUCUCACCCAGUCAAGAAGCACGGGACUGGAAGGGGGACCUCCUUACGGAGGCAGACUGACUGUCCCUUAGCAGAGCUGGUGCACUGUAUUGGAGGAAUAACCCUCCUUGGGAUCAGCUGGUCUCUUCAGAGCCAGCAGGCAGGAAAGAUUAAGUCUGCUGAACCUCGGACCAUGGCCGCCGCUCCCCCGAGGUGCUCUGUCCCAGGGAGAUUAGAGUUCUUGUCUGUAAGCCCCUGACUGUAGCUACUGGAAUUCCUGCAGGGAUGCCCUCCAGGUGAGGAGGGAUGGCUUCGGGUCCCACCUAGGAAGCAGUCUGGCCACGAUCUGCAACAGCCACUUUGCUGCGUUGUGGGGAAUUCCACCCAGUCCAAACCUCCUAGUCUCCUUAGCACUGUCAGGGGAAAACCUCCAACUAAAGCCUCAGUAAUGACGGUCGCCCCUCCCCCUGGGAACUGAGUUGUCCCAGGCGGACUCCAGACUGCUGUGCCGGCAGCGGGGAUUUCAAGCCAGUGGUUCUUAGCUUGCGGGGUUUCCGUGGGAGUGGGACCCUCUGAGCGAGACCACUUGGCUCCCUGGCUACAGCCCCCUUUCCACAGAAGUGGACAUUUCUCCUGCCUCACUGGAGUUCCAGGUGCUGCCGGAGUAUGUAAAAAUUCCUGCAGCUCAGUGCCUGCCCAAACAGCCGCCGACGGGAGCAGCUGUCAUUGGUCUGCCCAGUUUUGUAUUUGAGACCCAGGGCACUGGUGGUUGUAGGCUCCCGAGGGGAUCUGCUGAUCUGUGGAUUGCAAAAAUCUGUGGGAAAAGCUUAGUACCCUUGGUGGGUAGCACUGUCCCUCACCACUUCCCUUGGCUGGGGAGGGAGGUCCCCCUGCCCUGUGCAGUUCCUGGGUGAAGCAAUACCCUGCUUCUUCUCGCUCUCUGUGGGUCAUGCCGACCAUCUAGUCAGUCCCAGUGAGAUGAACUGGGUAUCUCAGUUGGAAAUGCAGAAAUCACCCACAUUCCUCGUUCCUCUCGCUGGCAGCUGCAGACCAGAGCUGCUUCUAGUCGGCAGUCUUGGCCCCUCCCCGCCGAGGUAAGUUUAAUAAGUCUUCUAAAUUUGUCCUUGCCAUAAUGAUCAGUGAUGAUCUGUCUUUUAAUAAGUUAAAUGCUUUCCAGACUUCAAGACUCUCACCCACAUCAAAAAUAAAAUUAUAUAUCGGCCAUAUUACCAGGAUUUUAGAAUGUUGUAUUUUAUCCUCUAAUUAUAGGUCAAAUAACUAAGGUAGAAAGGAGUAAAGCAACUUCCAUGUAUGUAGUGAGGAUGUUGGGGGGUCUGGGACUAAAAUUCUGCCUUGGGAUUCCCAAGAGGUUGGUGAUUAUGAUUUUUGUACUCUUAGACACAAAAUAAAAUAACAUUCUGUUUUGUUC